This 396-nucleotide ribosomal RNA is filed under the name Triticum aestivum (bread wheat). Its description in RNAcentral is "partial small subunit ribosomal RNA". The record is from RNAcentral. Lineage: Eukaryota; Viridiplantae; Streptophyta; Magnoliopsida; Poales; Poaceae.
AUGAAUAGUAACAGAGCCCCUGGCCCUGACAAUAUACCAGCAGAGUUUUAUCAACACUGUUGGGACAUUGUGAAAAAUGAUAUCAUGAGACUUUUUACUGCUUUGCAUGAGGGGACUUUGGAUGUGCACAUGCUGAACUAUGGGAUAAUCAGGCUGCUCCCUAAGGUUAACGGGGCGAAAAAAAUUCAGCAGUUUAGACCCAUUUGUUUGCUCAGGUGCCCUUAUAUGCUGAUAACAAAAGUGCUUGACAAUAGAUCGGCCCCAUAUGCUGACAUCUUGUUUAGCAAACACCAAAAUGCUUUUAUCAAGCACAGAAAUAUUAUGGAUGGUGUGUUAACUUUGCAUGAGAUUCUGCACCAUACUCAUGUAAAGAAAAAAAGUUGGGAUUAUCAUUAA